CGGACGGGUGAGUAACGCGUAGGAAUCUGCCCAGUAGAGGGGGAUAGCCCGAGGAAACUCGGAUUAAUACCGCAUACGCCCUAAGGGGGAAAGCAGGGGAUCUUCGGACCUUGCGCUAUUGGAUGAGCCUGCGUUGGAUUAGCUAGUUGGUAGGGUAAAGGCCUACCAAGGCGACGAUCCAUAGCUGGUCUGAGAGGAUGAUCAGCCACACUGGGACUGAGACACGGCCCAG
RNAcentral lists this ribosomal RNA (232 nucleotides) under uncultured bacterium. RNAcentral describes it as "partial 16S ribosomal RNA". It matches the Rfam family "Bacterial small subunit ribosomal RNA", at positions 99 to 334 of the family's 1533-position model. The record is from RNAcentral.